This 375-nucleotide ribosomal RNA is filed under the name Triticum aestivum (bread wheat). Its description in RNAcentral is "partial small subunit ribosomal RNA". Lineage: Eukaryota; Viridiplantae; Streptophyta; Magnoliopsida; Poales; Poaceae. The record is from RNAcentral.
AUGAGCACAAUUUGUUCCGAGCCAUGGAGUAGGAGAGGAAAAGUUUGCAUAACUGAGCUCAACGGUUCUCUAUGUGUGGUUCAGUUGGUGGAACAAAUGACAAUAUGGCUCAUGACUGAAUCCAAUGAAGAUAGGUGGAUCAAAAUGUACACGGUCACAAUGGCCCCAUCCACCUAUUGUGCUAGGCUUCUGUGGGUUACACGCGAUGGUGGAAAAUUGAUCUUCUACUCUUGGCUGCAUGGACAAGCACCGGUACUCCGAGCUUAUGAUCCUUGUUCCGAGACAUGUUCAACGCUACGGGAACUAGAAUAUGACGUUGAGAUAAUUCGUCUUUGCAGCUUGCAGUUGAACCCUUUUGUCACGAGGAAGAUUUGA